Molecule: transfer RNA, 77 nt
Filed under: Candidatus Nitrososphaera evergladensis SR1
Lineage: Archaea; Thermoproteati; Nitrososphaerota; Nitrososphaeria; Nitrososphaerales; Nitrososphaeraceae
Description: tRNA-OTHER
Source: RNAcentral
GCAAGGGGCUGCACAGUCCGGUCAAGCAUUGUGGCCUUUCGAGUCGCAGAUCCCGGGUUCAAAUCCCGGCCGGAGCA